UUGCCAUGAUGAUGAUUUGUCUGUAUGAACUUUACGUUGAUUGAAAUCCAACUAACAUACGAGCUUUUUAACUCUGAGCAAA
Molecule: small nucleolar RNA, 82 nt
Filed under: Diaphorina citri (Asian citrus psyllid)
Lineage: Eukaryota; Metazoa; Arthropoda; Insecta; Hemiptera; Psyllidae
Source: RNAcentral